GUUCUCAAUAGCCAAAAAAGUGACACAAAGAACAUGCAGGGAGCUGCACUUUAGGUAACAUUCUGAAAGGCUAGAAUUUGUAUCAUUUGCUAAGGUUUAUUGAAGGCACCAAAUAUCAGCAGUCACUUAGCUCCCCUAUUGCCAUGUGAACUUUUAUGAAUGAAUAGGCCAUUAGACUAGCUUCCUUAGAUUCCUGCCAUAGAAGCUAAGCUGCACAAAUUUGAUUCAUUAUGCUCUAGAGUGGUUACAAGGGUGGCUAGUUGUUCAGAGGUCUGUAACUUUAGCAGACAGCAUCCGACCUUCACUGCUGUCAGUUAUCUAUGUUUAGCAGAGUUUCUUUUGCAGAUACACUGCUCAAGGCCAAUAACGGGGUUCUUUAUUAUUUUGUCUUAGGUGAUUAAGUUAGGUGAGAAAAAUAAUUAGGAAGUGUAAAUUGCGACCAGCUUUUUUUUAGUUUUCUGAUGCAAAUAGAAAUCCUCUUCAUGUUGUUUGCUUGAGAAAUUGUCUCAUGCAUGGUUACCUUAAAUAUGAUUAUCACAUGUGUUUGAGGUGUAGGUCAGGUUGCCAUCGCUUUUGUUUGUCUUGCCUGCAUCAGAAAUACAAGCGAUGCCUCCUCCCCCAUGCUCUUGAUUAGAAUUUUACUUGCAAUACAAGCAUACUAAGUAUAAAGCUCAUCCAUGUUCUUGAUUGGAGUUU
Molecule: long non-coding RNA, 696 nt
Filed under: Theobroma cacao (cacao)
Lineage: Eukaryota; Viridiplantae; Streptophyta; Magnoliopsida; Malvales; Malvaceae
Description: long non-coding RNA (TCAC_LNC005131)
Source: RNAcentral